Molecule: long non-coding RNA, 1251 nt
Organism: Fukomys damarensis (Damara mole-rat)
Lineage: Eukaryota; Metazoa; Chordata; Mammalia; Rodentia; Bathyergidae
Exons: 3
Source: RefSeq, a predicted model, not a curated record
GGUCAAGAGUCAAGACCCACACUAAGUAGCACAGGGAAUGAAGACCCUACUUUUGGAGGAUGUGCUUCUGACAGGUAGGUCUUGAUCUCUGAUGGCAAAUCAGUGAUGCGAGAAGAAGUCAUGAACAAAGAAGUGGACUGCUGUGCAAGGCACUGGUUUAUCAUUGAUCUCAGUCUGGAAAGAGCCCAAAUUCUACUUAGAGCUACUUCAUAAUCAGCCUCUGUGGCAUUUACUUAGAUUGCCUCAGAAAAAGAAAACUGCUGACAACACAAAAAGAAAUUUACACAAUCAUCAUCAAUCAUUGCAAAGAACUGUUGAUUUUCCUAUGUAACUCCUUGGCCAAUAUGGGAACUUAAAGAUCACAGUUGAUCCUAAACACUGCUUCCCGGAAAGAAACUCUAAAAUGGACAAGCAGGGUAAUGAUUUGUUUGUUUUUAGUUUGUUUUUAAUACCUUCAAAUGGUAGGAGAGCAUCCAAACUGUGUAAAACUUGGCCAAACUCAGAUGUGAAGUGGAUUCUUCCUCUAAUCUUUGAGAGUGCUAAUGUUUUGAGAGAGGGGUCAUAACGAUUACAGAAAUACACUGAAGCUUAACUGAGUCAAGCUACAUAGGGAUAGUAAUUCAACAGUAAAUCAAAAUUAAGUGGUUGGAUGGCCCUCUUCCUUAAAAUCUUCAAUUAAACCUGCUGGUCAAAAAGCAAAAGGAGUCCAAGUCACAAUGCUAUGAUGUUUUAUAAAAAUAUUUUAGAAUAUCAACUUUGACAUAAACUAUGUUUCUGAAACUCUUUGCAGAUCAAAGUAAUAAUUGAUUGUUCUUAGUUUGAACCCUAUAAAAGCACAUUGAGUAAUUUCAUCAAGGGCAAUAAAAAAAGGUCAAAAUGAAACAUUUUUCUCAGGACAAAAUUAUCAAUCACAAUUAACUCCUGUUGCUAUUUUGCUGAUAACAACAUGAUGAAGUGUUUUAUUUUCCAAACAGUAGGGGACUCCGUGCUUCCCUGAAUCUCACUUCUGCCUGCGCUGGUGUGGUUACAUGGCGACAGGAAGCCCUAUAAAGGCUUGAACGUCUAUCUCUGUGAUUUUCAUCUAAUAGGCCCGUCUAUGACGUUACUUUUGAACGCUUCUUAACUGAAUAUUUGAUCAUUGUCCUAAAAAAUUUACUCUUGAACUUUUGAAAAAGCACAUUAAUUUCUUCUUCUAAAAAUCAUACAUGUGAUUUGCUUAUAGAACAAGGGGAAAUUUUUUUACUAAUAGGA